UGCAAGCAGCUGCCGGGCUCCUCACCGGGCUCCCUUCCCUCUCCUCACUGGCUGAUGGAUCCCAAGGGGCUCCUCUCCUUGAACGUCCUGCUGUUUUUCUCCCUAGCUUUUGAGCUGAGCUGCAGAACAGGUGAGGGCUCAACGAAUUGCCCAGUGAUGAUCCUUGGGCGGCUGGGAAGCAGUGUGCUGCUGCCCCUGACAUCUGACGGGAUAAGUAAGAGCAUGAAUAAGAGUAUUCACAUCCUUGUCACAAUGGCAGGAUCACCCAUAGACACCGUCAAGAAGAAAAUAGUGUCUCUGGAUCUGCGGAAAGGUGACUCUCCACACCAUCUGGAGAAUGGCUAUGAGUUUCAUCCAGAAAACAUGAGCCUGAGGAUCCUGAAAAGCAGGAAGGAGGAUGAGGGCUGGUACUUUAUGAGCCUGGAGGAAAACAUUUCAGUCCAGCAAUUUUGCCUGCAGCUGAAGCUCUAUGAGCAGGUCUCCACUCCGGAAAUUAAGGUGUUGAACUCCAGCCAGGAGAACGGGAACUGUAGCCUGAUGCUGGCCUGCAUGGUGGAGAAGGGGGACCAUGUAGCUUACAACUGGAGUGAGGAGGCGGGCACCCCUCUGCUGAGCCCCACCAAGAACUCCCACCUCCUGUAUCUCACCCUUGGCCCUCAGGAUGCCAACAACAUCUACAUCUGCACCGUGAGCAACCCCAUCAGCAAUGGCUCUCAGACCUUCAUCCCGUGGUCCAGAUGCAGCCUCGGUUCCUCAGAAGCAAGACAAUGGGCACUGUAUGCUGGGCUCUUCUUAGGGGUCAUCGUUGGUGUCAUCAUGAUUCUGCAAGUGGUAAUACUACUGUUGAGAAGAAGAGUCUGUUCAGAAGAAACCUGACUCUCUGCCAGCUCAGGACCCCUGCACCAGCAUUUACGUUGCUGCCACAGAGCCUGUGCCAGAGCCCGUCCAGCAAUCAAGCUCCAUCACAGUAUAUGCCAGCGUGACACUUCCAGAGAGCUGACACCACAGAUCCAGUGAAGGGACUUUCUGAAGGAAUACGGAGGAGCCAAAAUAAACACUGAACUUGGUCCCAAGUCCCAAGUUUCUUGUGACAUCUACACAUCUGUACUCUUCUCGGAUCGACUCCCUGGUGAUGUUUCUCCCACAUCUACCCGCGAAAUAGAUAAGGAAGCGAGGUUUCCCAAGCACUUAGCCUGCUUUGUGGGAGGCACAGGCUCAGAACAGAGAGCUGCUUGGAAUAGCUUUCCAUCUCUGUGGUGUAGCAGAUGAAAUGGAUAAUGCCGGUCCAGUGAGGUGUCUCACUCUUUGCUGCAAUUGGGUAAUAAAAGCCAAAGGCAGAAAGUCAGGACAGGACGUCUAGUACCUAUCUCAGACAGCUGACCACCAGCCACAAAGUCUGGAACAGCGUACCCUUGGGCUGCCUGUCCUUGGUCUGGGAGCUGCUCCCGAUCACCAUGCAGACUUGAUCAAGGCUCUGGGCCUCAGUUUCUCUCUCUGGAUAGACAAUGAGAUUAUUGUCUCAAUGAGAUUAAUAAACACUCUGAGAUUAUUCCAUAAAAGAAGCUAAUAAAGUAUUUUAUUUGUAAAACCUGGAAGCUAAGAGUCAAUAAACUGAAAAUAUGA
Molecule: RNA transcript, 1623 nt
Organism: Orcinus orca (killer whale)
Lineage: Eukaryota; Metazoa; Chordata; Mammalia; Artiodactyla; Delphinidae
Gene: SLAMF1
Gene name: signaling lymphocytic activation molecule family member 1
Exons: 6
Source: RefSeq, marked provisional